CCCUCCUGUGUGUGGCUGGAAAACUUUUUUUUGAUAGAUUUUUUAUGAAUAAAAAAGAUUCUACUAAAAAAAAAUCAAUAACUGUACAUAAGUGGGCAUAUUGUUUGAGUCUGUAUUCUUUCACUUUGAUAUAUUUAUGAAUACUUACACCAUUACUACUGUUUUAAAAUUACUGUAGCUUUAAAAUCAGGUUUGAAAUCUAGCAGAGUAAGUCCUCCAACUUAUUGCUUCUUCAAUAUCGACUUGCUUAUUCUAGGUUCUUUGAUUUUCAAAUACAUUUUGAAACUAGCUUUCAAAUUUCUCUAAAAUCUCCUACUAGAAAUA
Molecule: long non-coding RNA, 324 nt
Filed under: Homo sapiens (human)
Lineage: Eukaryota; Metazoa; Chordata; Mammalia; Primates; Hominidae
Description: HSALNT0014639
Source: RNAcentral